UGACGGUACUUAAUGAAUAAGCUCCGGCUAACUACGUGCCAGCAGCCGCGGUAAUACGUAGGGAGCAAGCGUUAUCCGGAUUUACUGGGUGUAAAGGGUGCGUAGGCGGCUUGGUAAGUCAGAUGUGAAAUGUAUGGGCUCAACCCAUGCACUGCAUUUGAAACUAUCGAGCUUGAGUGAAGUAGAGGUAGGCGGAAUUCCCUGUGUAGCGGUGAAAUGCGUAGAGAUAGGGAGGAACACCAGUGGCGAAGGCGGCCUACUGGGCUUUAACUGACGCUGAGGCACGAAAGCGUGGGUAGCAAACAGGAUUAGAUACCCUG
This 320-nucleotide ribosomal RNA is filed under the name uncultured bacterium. Its description in RNAcentral is "bacterial SSU rRNA". It matches the Rfam family "Bacterial small subunit ribosomal RNA", at positions 470 to 789 of the family's 1533-position model. The record is from RNAcentral.